UCGUCGAGGAAUGGGUUCAGCUUGACCAGUGAACUGCGUGGUAGACCGGGCCGUCCUGCGGUGACAGCAGCUACCUCGUCAGGGAAGUGGAGCGCCUGCACCACUCGAAGCCACUGGAGUAGAGCGGCGUCUAGCUCGUCAGGAUGCAGCGGGCGACCAGAUGUGACUUCCCGGCUCGCCAGGUUGAGCCAUCGACGGCACCAAGCCGUAACGCGCAGUAGCCGAUGAAGUGCGGAGAACCGAAGAAGGAGGUCCGGUUCGAUGAUGACGGAACUCCUGGUUAUCAGGCUGGUGGUGCGUUGUUCCGGAAGGUCGUCCUCUGAGAUAUCGACCUCUGAGUUGGGCCACGCCGUUUCGUCCAGUGCCAACCAGGCAGGUCCUGUCCACCAUAAUGCGUGGUUGAUUAAUUCCCCAGGAGUAAUUCCUCUUGAUGCGCAAUCUGCAGGAUUGUCUUUCCCGGCUACGUGUUUCCACUGAGCGUCCGGGAGCUGUGUUUGGAUAUGAGCUACCCGGUUGGCGACGAAAGUUUUCCAGCGGGUGGCGUGUCCCUGGAUCCAAUGGAGCGUGACCUUGGAAUCGGACCACAGGUACACUGGAGUAGACGCCAAGCCGAGCGUGUUGCGGACAUGCAGUGUGAGCGUGAGUUGCGGAGGUAAACCGCUGCGGCGUAUCCUCGUUCGGAAGCGUCAGCGAAGCCGUGGAGCUGCAGCCUUGAGUGAUCGUCGUCGGUGCUGAGCCAGCGAUUAACUCGUAUGUUGCUGAGCAGAGGUAGCUGGUUCAGCAGCUGUUGCCAACGUUGAACAUCCUUGACAGGCAGUGGAGCGUCCCAGUCCAGCUGCUGAAGCCAGGUGGUCUGGAUCAGGAUCUUCGCCCGAAUCACGACAGACGCAAGCCAGCCCAUCGGGUCGAAUAGCCGUGCAGUCUCGGCGAGGACUCGUCGCUUCGUGAAUUCUGUGACUGAACGCGGAUGUAUUGCGAAAGCAAACCAGUCAUCUUGAGGAUGCCAUCGCAGGCCCAAGGUCGAAUGGCUCUCUCCGUCCCAUGAAUGCGGUCCUUGCUGCAGCCGAUGCUCUUGAGGGACUCCCGCGAGGACCUCGGAGUUAUUUGAGGCCCACUUCCUCAGUGGAAAUCCGCCCGCCGUGCACAGGUGGCGCAGCUCCGUCUGAAGGUUGAUGGCAUCGUCGAGGUUGUCUGCGCCGGUGACCACGUCGUCGACGUAGCAGUCACGUCGAAGUGCUGUGGCCCCUUGAGGAAAUUGCGUCCCCUCGUCUGCACAGAGUUGCCGCAGCGUUUGUAUGGCCAGGAACGGUGCACAAGCCAUGCCGUAGGUCACCGUUAGCAGCUCGUAUUCUUGGAUUUCGUCUGUCUUGUUGUGACGCCACAGGAUUGUUUGAAGACGGCAAUCCUCAGGAUGUACGAGGAUUUGGCGGUACAUUUUCUCUACGUCGGUGACAAAGACGUACCGGUGCCAACGCCAUCGCAGCAACACGUCGUUGAGCGCAGGCAGAAGAUUCGUCCCAGUCAACAGAUGAGAGUUCAGCGAAGUACCGGCCCGUGUGCGUUAAGAGCCGUUAAAUACGACUCGGAGUUUUGUCGUCGUGCUCGACUCCUUCAGGACCCCGUGAUGCGGUCUUCGAACUCCUGCAUGAAGCUGCGAUAGAGGUCGCCAAAUCGAGGAUCUCGGCUGCC
This is a long non-coding RNA of Nylanderia fulva, 1689 nucleotides long. RefSeq lists it as uncharacterized. Lineage: Eukaryota; Metazoa; Arthropoda; Insecta; Hymenoptera; Formicidae. The record is from RefSeq and is a predicted model, not a curated record.